RNAcentral lists this ribosomal RNA (253 nucleotides) under uncultured bacterium. Its description in RNAcentral is "partial 16S ribosomal RNA". It matches the Rfam family "Bacterial small subunit ribosomal RNA", at positions 524 to 776 of the family's 1533-position model. The record is from RNAcentral.
GACGAACCGUGCGAACGUUGUUCGGAAUGACUGGGCGUAAAGCGCGCGUAGGCGGACCUGCAAGUCGGGGGUGAAAUCCCGGGGCUCAACCCUGGAAUGGCCUUCGAGACUGCCGGUCUUGAGUUCGAGAGAGGUGGGUGGAAUUCCGAGUGUAGAGGUGAAAUUCGUAGAUAUUCGGAGGAACACCAGUGGCGAAGGCGGCCCACUGGCUCGACACUGACGCUGAGGUGCGAAAGCGUGGGGAGCAAACAGG